CCUAUAUAAAGAGUACCCUGGUAUUGCUAUGUCCCAGUCAUUUUUCUCAUUGUACCAUGUCUCAGUAACAGCGACUAAAUCUACACUAUCAGUUGCCAUUAUUGCCACAAGUUCAUGGAUCUUAUUCCCUAAACUGCGAGCAUUUGUAGACAUGACUCUAAGCUUAUCAUUUUUUAACACACUUGCUACAGGCACCUUCUGUCCUUGUUUAAUGGUUGUAUAUAUAAAUUUAUAUUGAUUUUUCACAGUGGGAUUUGUUUCCUUAUGAACGGAUAUAUAAUUUUUGUGGUUUAUACUUAGAAGUUACAAGCUACUUCAAUCCUCAGCAGGGGUGAAUUUCUAGUUGACAGGGUCACAUUUUCCCUUGCCAGUGGGGUAUUCACCAUGGAAACAGCAAGCACACAGUCUUCUGCACUUAAACGGUCACUUCAGAUGCUUAAAAUAAUUUCAGCUUGCUUACGUGCUUUAUAUGUGAAGAUAGUGUCAUCUUUUUCCCAGAAUUGCAGAAAUUGUCACUAUGCUAAAUAAAACACACACACACUAAAGUGUUCCUUUAAAGUACUGAUAGGCUUGCACAUAGGGAUUUAGGGGUAGUAAUUUCAGAUGACUUAAAGGUAGGCAGUGUAAUCAAGCAACAGGAAAUGCUUGCAGCAUGCUUGGUUGUAUAGUGAGAGGUAUUAACAGUAGAAAGAGGGAAGUAUUCAUGCCAUUGUACAGAACAUCGGCAAGACCUCACGUAUUGUACGCAGUACUGGAAACCGUAUCUUUAGAGAAAGUUCAGAAGUGGUCUACUAAAUUGGUUCAUGGAUUACAGGAUGAAACUUACCAGGAAAGUUAAACGAUCUUAACAUGUAUAAAAAAAAUAAAAAGGGCUGAUAUAAAGUCUCUCUUGUUGCAUUUUAACCCCUUAAGGACCAAACUUCUGGAAUAAAAGGGAAUCAUGACAUGUCACACGUCAUGUGUCCUUAAGGGGUUAAAAUUUCCCUUAUAGGGUUGCUGCCCCAGUUGUUAUUUAGCGCUUACUCUUUUUCCCUGUCUUAACAUGUAUAGCCUGGAGGAGAGACGGGACAGGGUGAUAUGAUAGAAACAUUGAAAUAAAAAGGAGGAGACUAUGUACCUACAGCUGGAAGGAAAAGGCCUUAUGCAUGUCUAAGUUUCUGCAAGGUAGACUAUGGAGGAAACCGUCUACCCUUAAUACUGGACACUAUAAUUGUAUUGAAUUUAACCACUUGCAUAUUUUUAAACUAUGUAUAUCUAACCCCCAUUCCUUUGUCAUAUCUCAACUGGACAUACAUGUAUAUACAUACACACACACACACACACACACACACUCUGCAGUUUGUCUUGUCCUGCAUGCUAAAGCUAGUUGCUCCCUGCCCUGCUCAUCAUUGGUUUUGUUAACUUAAAUGUUAUUCAACAUCCUGCUUAUCUCAAGACUUUCUCUGUUAUUUCUUCUCCCCCCCCCCUUAUUUUAUUGAUACCCACCCAAAUGUCUUGCUUGACCAAUCCUCACCUCCUCUGUGCAUCUCCAUUCCAUAGCUUUUAUUGCAGUCCUGUUUUGACCCUAUCAUCUCUGUCUUCCACAGUCUGAGUUUUAAAAGACCACUUCUAGCAAACCUGAACAGUGCUCAGACCAGUUACCGCCAAAAAUGUUCCAGAACUGCUGAACGCUGCUGGAGAAAGUCUCACUUUGCAGCUGACUUUGUCCACUAUAAAUAUUUGCUGCGCUCCUACAGCAUGGCUCUUUCCUCUGCAAAAAGUAAGCUACUUCAACACCCUCAUAAGCACACUGUCCCACCAAUCCAAACACCUGUUUCACACUUUUGAUGCUCUUCUUCGCCCUGUGACACCCCCCUCCUUCCACCACAAACUUUGCAUCUCAUUUCACUGAGAAGAUCUCUAUAAUCAGGAACGAUAUCUCUAAUCUUUCUCCAACCAGUAUCAAUACAUCACCCAACCCCACUCCCCCUGCCAUCCUAAGCUAAUUUCUGCUCUGCUACUGUCCUCCCGCCCCACCACCUGAUCCCUCGAUCCUAUUCCCUCGCAUCUCAUCCGCACUUUGUCUCCCUCUCUUGCUCUUCCACUCGCUAACAAUUUUCAAUCUCUCCCUUUCCUCUGGCACAUUUCCCUCUGCCUUCAAACAUGCAACCUUAACCCCAAUUCUGAAAAAGCCCAACCUUGAUCCCAACUCCCCAUCCAACUACCACCCUAUCUCGCUACUGCCAUUUGCCUCCAAGAUCCUCGAGAGAGUUGUCUACGCCAGAUUGACAGACUUUCUUGAAUCCAACUCUCUGCUUGACCCCCUUCAGUCUGGAUUCGGCGCUGGUCACUGUCGAAACUGCUGUGACCAAAGUAUCCAACGAUUUAAUUGCUGCUAAAUCUCACGGCCAAUACUCUAUCCUAAUCCUCCUUGAGCUUUCUGCCGCAUUUGACACUGUUGAUCAUCAACAGCUUCUUCACAUUCUCCGUAACUUUGGUCUAUGGCAGGGGUUCUCAACGUUAGUCCUCAGGACCCCCUACCAGUCCAGGGAUUACCUGGGUGUGUCUAAGGUGUUUAGAAAAAGAAGAAAAA
Molecule: long non-coding RNA, 2572 nt
Filed under: Pelobates cultripes (western spadefoot toad)
Lineage: Eukaryota; Metazoa; Chordata; Amphibia; Anura; Pelobatidae
Source: RNAcentral